UACGUAGGGUGCAAGCGUUAAUCGGAGUUACUGGGCGUAAAGAGUACGUAGGCGGUUUGCUAAGUCUGGUGUGAAAUCUCCUGGCUUAACUGGGAGGGUGCGCUAGAUACUGGCAGGCUUGAGUAUGGGAGAGGAGAGUGGAAUUCCUGGUGUAGCGGUGAAAUGCGUAGAUAUCAGGAGGAACGCCGGUGGUGUAGACGGCUCUCUGGACCAUUACUGACGCUGAGGUACGAAAGCGUGGGUAGCAAACAGGAUUAGAUACCCCAGUAGU
This 271-nucleotide ribosomal RNA is filed under the name uncultured bacterium. Its description in RNAcentral is "partial 16S ribosomal RNA". It matches the Rfam family "Bacterial small subunit ribosomal RNA", at positions 524 to 794 of the family's 1533-position model. The record is from RNAcentral.